GAGUUUUGAUCCUGGCUCAGGAUGAACGCUAGCUACAGGCUUAACACAUGCAAGUCGAGGGGCAGCAUGUUGGUUGCUUGCAACCAAUGAUGGCGACCGGCGCACGGGUGAGUAACGCGUAUCCAACCUACCCUUGUCCAUCGGAUAACCCGUCGAAAGGCGGCCUAACACGAUAUGCGGUUCUCAGCAGGCAUCUAACCGAGAACGAAAUGUGAAGGAGAAGGAUGGGGAUGCGUCUGAUUAGCUUGUUGGCGGGUAACGGCCACCAAGGCGACGAUCAGUAGGGUUCUGAGAGGAAGGUCCCCCANAUUGGAACUGAGACACGGUCCAAACUCCUACGGGAGGCA
Molecule: ribosomal RNA, 347 nt
Filed under: uncultured bacterium
Lineage: Bacteria
Description: bacterial SSU rRNA
Rfam family: Bacterial small subunit ribosomal RNA
Source: RNAcentral